Molecule: ribosomal RNA, 497 nt
Filed under: uncultured bacterium
Lineage: Bacteria
Description: partial 16S ribosomal RNA
Rfam family: Bacterial small subunit ribosomal RNA
Source: RNAcentral
GAUGAACGCUGGCGGCGUGCCUAAUACAUGCAAGUCGAGCGAACAGACGAGGAGCUUGCUCCUCUGACGUUAGCGGCGGACGGGUGAGUAACACGUGGAUAACCUACCUAUAAGACUGGGAUAACUUCGGGAAACCGGAGCUAAUACCGGAUAAUAUAUUGAACCGCAUGGUUCAAUAGUGAAAGACGGUUUUGCUGUCACUUAUAGAUGGAUCCGCGCCGCAUUAGCUAGUUGGUAAGGUAACGGCUUACCAAGGCAACGAUGCGUAGCCGACCUGAGAGGGUGAUCGGCCACACUGGAACUGAGACACGGUCCAGACUCCUACGGGAGGCAGCAGUAGGGAAUCUUCCGCAAUGGGCGAGAGCCUGACGGAGCAACGCCGCGUGAGUGAUGAAGGUCUUCGGAUCGUAAAACUCUGUUACUAGGGAAGAACAAAUGUGUAAGUAACUAUGCACGUCUUGACGGUACCUAAUCAGAAAGCCACGGCUAACUACGUG